RNAcentral lists this ribosomal RNA (116 nucleotides) under Jeotgalicoccus halotolerans. The record is from RNAcentral. Lineage: Bacteria; Bacillati; Bacillota; Bacilli; Caryophanales; Staphylococcaceae.
UCUGGCGGCGAUGGCGGAGAGGCCACACCUGUUCCCAUGUCGAACACAGCAGUUAAGCUCUCCAGCGCCGAUGGUAGUUGGACUGACGUCCCGCAAGAGUAGGACGCUGCCAGGCU